RNAcentral lists this ribosomal RNA (897 nucleotides) under Leptographium celere. RNAcentral's name for it is "LSU rRNA". It matches the Rfam family "Eukaryotic large subunit ribosomal RNA", at positions 38 to 962 of the family's 3401-position model. The record is from RNAcentral. Lineage: Eukaryota; Fungi; Ascomycota; Sordariomycetes; Ophiostomatales; Ophiostomataceae.
GCAUAUCAAUAAGCGGAGGAAAAGAAACCAACAGGGAUUGCCCCAGUAACGGCGAGUGAAGCGGCAACAGCUCAGAUUUGGAAUCUGGCCCCCAGGGCCCGAGUUGUAAUCUGGAGAGGAUGCUUCUGGCGCGGCGCCUUCCGAGUUCCCUGGAACGGGACGCCGGAGAGGGUGAGAGCCCCGUACGGUUGGACGCCUAGCCUUUGUGAAGCUCCUUCGACGAGUCGAGUAGUUUGGGAAUGCUGCUCAAAAUGGGAGGUAAAUUUCUUCUAAAGCUAAAUACCGGCCAGAGACCGAUAGCGCACAAGUAGAGUGAUCGAAAGAUGAAAAGCACUUUGAAAAGAGGGUCAAACAGUACGUGAAAUUGUUGAAAGGGAAGCGCCCGUGGCCAGACUUGUGCCCCGCGGACCACCCGGCGCCCUCAGCGCCGGUGCACUCCGCGGGGCGCAGGCCAGCAUCGGUUUUCCUAGGGGGAUAAAGGCGGCGGGAACGUGGCUCCUUCGGGAGUGUUAUAGCCCGUCGUGCCAUGCCCCUGGGGGGACCGAGGACCGCGCUUCGGCAAGGAUGCUGGCGUAAUGGCCACCGGCGACCCGUCUUGAAACACGGACCAAGGAGUCAAGCAUUGGGGCGAGUGUCUGGGUGCCAAACCCGCACGCGAAAUGAAAGUGAACGCAGGUGAGAGCUUCGGCGCAUCAUCGACCGAUCCUGAUGUUCUCGGAUGGAUUUGAGUAAGAGCCUUACCGCUUGGACCCGAAAGAUGGUGAACUAUGCCUGUAUAGGGUGAAGCCAGAGGAAACUCUGGUGGAGGCUCGCAGCGGUUCUGACGUGCAAAUCGAUCGUCAAAUAUGGGCAUGGGGGCGAAAGACUAAUCGAACCAUCUAGUAGCUGGUUACCGCC